This 66-nucleotide transfer RNA is filed under the name Tomostethus sp. 1 QHW-2022a. RNAcentral describes it as "tRNA-Phe". It matches the Rfam family "tRNA". From Rfam's summary of the family: Transfer RNA (tRNA) molecules are approximately 80 nucleotides in length. Their secondary structure includes four short double-helical elements and three loops (D, anti-codon, and T loops). Further hydrogen bonds mediate the characteristic L-shaped molecular structure. tRNAs have two regions of fundamental functional importance: the anti-codon, which is responsible for specific mRNA codon recognition, and the 3' end, to which the tRNAs corresponding amino acid is attached (by aminoacyl-tRNA synthetases). tRNAs cope with the degeneracy of the genetic code in two manners: having more than one tRNA (with a specific anti-codon) for a particular amino acid; and 'wobble' base-pairing, i.e. permitting non-standard base-pairing at the 3rd anti-codon position. Lineage: Eukaryota; Metazoa; Arthropoda; Insecta; Hymenoptera; Tenthredinidae. The record is from RNAcentral.
GUUUAAAUAGCUUAAGGAAAAGCUUUUCAUUGAAGAUGAAAAAAUGAUAAUAUUUAUCUUUAGACA